This 84-nucleotide transfer RNA is filed under the name Bacteroidia bacterium. Its description in RNAcentral is "tRNA-Leu". It matches the Rfam family "tRNA". Rfam says of the family: Transfer RNA (tRNA) molecules are approximately 80 nucleotides in length. Their secondary structure includes four short double-helical elements and three loops (D, anti-codon, and T loops). The record is from RNAcentral. Lineage: Bacteria; Pseudomonadati; Bacteroidota; Bacteroidia.
GCCUGGGUGGUGGAAUUGGUAGACACGCAGGACUUAAAAUCCUGUAAUCUCACGAUUGUACGGGUUCAAGUCCCGUCCCGGGUA